UCUGGCAACUCAUUAGACUCAU
This 22-nucleotide microRNA is filed under the name Populus trichocarpa (black cottonwood). RNAcentral describes it as "ptc-miR6428". The record is from miRBase by way of RNAcentral. Lineage: Eukaryota; Viridiplantae; Streptophyta; Magnoliopsida; Malpighiales; Salicaceae.